GAUGAACGCUGGCGGCGUGCCUAAUACAUGCAAGUCGAACGCUUCACUUCGGUGAAGAGUGGCGAACGGGUGAGUAAUACAUAAGUAACCUGGCAUCUACAGGGGGAUAACUGAUGGAAACGUCAGCUAAGACCGCAUAGGUGUAGAGAUCGCAUGAACUCUAUAUGAAAAGUGCUACGGGACUGGUAGAUGAUGGACUUAUGGCGCAUUAGCUUGUUGGUAGGGUAACGGCCUACCAAGGCGACGAUGCGUAGCCGACCUGAGAGGGUGACCGGCCACACUGGGGCUUGGACUCCGUCCAGACGCCUACGGGAGGCAGCAGUAGGGAAUUUUCGGCCAUUGGGGAAACCCUGACCGAGCAACGCCGCGUGAAGGAAGAAGUAAUUCGUUAUGUAAACUUCUGUCAUAGAGGAAGAACGGUGGAUAUAGGGAAUGAUAUCCAAGUGACGGUACUCUAUAAGAAAGCCACGGCUAACUACGUG
RNAcentral lists this ribosomal RNA (482 nucleotides) under uncultured bacterium. Its description in RNAcentral is "partial 16S ribosomal RNA". It matches the Rfam family "Bacterial small subunit ribosomal RNA", at positions 28 to 507 of the family's 1533-position model. The record is from RNAcentral.